GAGGGCCAUUCAUAUCCAUUAAUUGUUACAAUCCAAGAUACACUAGGUCUCAGCUGGUUGCCGUUUCUUCUGUAUUUGAAAUGUGCUUCUCAGCAGAGAUCGGAGGACACCAUUGGGACUCAUUUGAGUCUGACUUUCACAUUAAUUUUGCUGUGCUGUGAAGAGUGAAGACAAAAUCAAUGUCCAUCAGUAAUUAUUCAAGGUAAUAUCGCACACAUUUCCUGAUGGAUUGGAUGUGGGAAGUGAAGAAAAGGAGGAAAAGGUUCUGAAGAAAAGAAGUAAUUGCUGCAGCCACAAGUCUACAGUUACAAGUGAUUGAAGAUGGUGGCUGGGUCAGAGAAUGCUAAUCAUCCGUGAAGUGGGCUCGCCAUGACUCUGACACCGUGUCUCCUGGUGCACCCUGUGGUAGGUGCAUCUUUGCUGAAUAAAUACAAAGUGAACUUGACGGGAAAGGAGACCUCAGCAGUCCUACAAAGGCAAUUUUGCAAGCUGUCUGGCUGUGGAAUUAGUGGGAUGUUUGCUCAGGAAGAAACAGCUGACGUCAACUUUGCUCUCUUUGUAUCUCAAGGGCAGAGUUAGCCAUGCCUCUGGCCUGCGCCGACACCCGCAGAGGGAAGAAUGGCUUCCAGAGGGAAAGGUUAAAGAACAGGUCGGCUGGGCAUCCACACUCCCCGUCCCUCCCGCCCGCUGUGUGUCAUCUUUCUGGCAAGGUGAAUUCAAUGCCCA
RNAcentral lists this long non-coding RNA (726 nucleotides) under Equus caballus (horse). RNAcentral's name for it is "lncRNA (ENSECAG00000052656.1)". The record is from RNAcentral. Lineage: Eukaryota; Metazoa; Chordata; Mammalia; Perissodactyla; Equidae.